This 353-nucleotide long non-coding RNA is filed under the name Nicotiana benthamiana. RNAcentral describes it as "long non-coding RNA (NBEN_LNC004767)". Lineage: Eukaryota; Viridiplantae; Streptophyta; Magnoliopsida; Solanales; Solanaceae. The record is from RNAcentral.
CAUAAGGUAACCCUUGUAACCAUCUUGUCAAACAAAGGCUAACUUUGCAUUACUGUCAAUCUUUUGAAACUUAAUGGCACCCCUAAGUAUCUGACUGGAAGUGCUCCUUUAGGAAACCCAACAAGCUAAGAAUCUCUAUUUGAAUAUCUUCGGGCACCCAUCCAAAGAAGAUUGAGCUUUUGGCCUUCUUAACUAUCAAUCCUGAAGCCAAUGAAAACUGUUGGAAACAAUCAUACAUCAGUUUGACUAAUAUCACAUCACCACUGUGGCCCGGCAAAACAUCAGAAUGUCAUCAACGAAGCCCAAUUGCACUAUCUGCAUUUUACUACAUCUAGGGUGGAAGUUAAAAUCUG